GUUGGGUUUUUGUUCGGGUUCAAAGAAUAAUAAUAUGAGAUUAAAUUAAUUGAGCUUGUGUCGAGUUUGGGAUAUGCGGGUAGGCUCGAUUCGGUUCUGGGUUUCUUUGAUCUUAACAUACCUAAUGUCGGUCUACUAGUGGGUUCUCAUCUAGGAAAAGUGGGGAAGUUGAAACCGCCAAAAAUAACAUAAGGGGCACCGUUAUAAGUUAAAACCGUUAGAGUUUGUGAUCAUAAAAAAAAAAUAGAAUAAAAAGUGAGCUAGAAACUAAAUGAAAGUAGCCACUUCUAUGUAGUCUGGGUUGGGGAUAGUGACUCUACAGCCGGAUUACCGCUAGGGUGUGUGAAAUCGACCGUACAAAGCAAUAAAAAGAAAAAAAAAUAAUAGAAAGUACUGAAACUAAGUAGUCUGUGGUUGGGGAUAGCGACUCUACAGCCGGAUUGCUUCUUGGUUUGGAAAAGCACCGUCUAGACUCACGGGAAAAAAAAUGAAAAAAAAAAGAGAAAAAAAAUGGAAAAAAAUCUGAUUGUAAACUCUCCUGGUUUUGAUAUAAGACGGUCGGGAAUUGGUCCAAUGGGCCUGUGAUUUCUAGUGUGAGACCCUAGGUGGAUUGACCCAUAUUUGAACCUAAACUUGCAUGAUAAGAGCUCGGAACCGGGUUGGGUUUAAGAGGACAAGUAUACUUGCAAUCGCAGCUAACACAUGUCUCGGUUUUAAAUAAAUUAACAUAAGCUUUUGGCCCGAACGAUUAUCUUGACUAUGAUUCCGUUUGCAUAAUUCUUUUUCGGGGACGAAAAAAGGUUAAGUGUG
Molecule: long non-coding RNA, 810 nt
Filed under: Helianthus annuus (common sunflower)
Lineage: Eukaryota; Viridiplantae; Streptophyta; Magnoliopsida; Asterales; Asteraceae
Description: hypothetical non coding rna
Source: RNAcentral